UGAUCAUUCUCCAAAGCUGUUUU
RNAcentral lists this small nuclear RNA (23 nucleotides) under Arabidopsis thaliana (thale cress). RNAcentral's name for it is "snRNA_13470". Lineage: Eukaryota; Viridiplantae; Streptophyta; Magnoliopsida; Brassicales; Brassicaceae. The record is from RNAcentral.